CUCUGCACAGGUGCUGGGCAAAUUCUUAGUGCUGAAAGGUCACCCUGUUCUCUCUGCUGUUUAUUGAACUGCAUUAGCAUCACCUUCAGAGGAAGUUGGUCACCUUUCCUUUAUGUGAAGGCACAAAGUGGUGGAGGGAAAAAGAGAAAGUGUAUGUUACGACGAUUGAGUCGUGUGACAAAGGCAGCCUGCAAAGGAGGACCAAAGGCUUUGGAUCCAGGCAAGAUAACACGGGCAAGUCCACAAGAAGCCU
This 253-nucleotide long non-coding RNA is filed under the name Cyanistes caeruleus (blue tit). Its description in RNAcentral is "lncRNA (ENSCCEG00000001057.1)". Lineage: Eukaryota; Metazoa; Chordata; Aves; Passeriformes; Paridae. The record is from RNAcentral.